GACGAACGCUGGCGGCGUGCUUAACACAUGCAAGUCGAACGGGAUCCGGGCUUUCGGGUUUGGUGAGAGUGGCGAACGGGUGAGUAACACGUGAGUAACCUGCCCCCUUCUUUGGGAUAACGUCGGGAAAUCGGCGCUAAUACUGGAUAUUCUUGCUGCAUCGCAUGGUGUGGUUUGGAAAGGGUUUCUGGUGGGGGAUGGGCUCGCGGCCUAUCAGCUUGUUGGUGGGGUGAUGGCCUACCAAGGCUUUGACGGGUAGCCGGGCUGAGAGGGUGUCCGGCCACACUGGGACUGAGACACGGCCCAGACUCCUACGGGAGGCAGCAGUGGGGAAUAUUGCACAAUGGGCGCAAGCCUGAUGCAGCGACGCCGCGUGAGGGAUGACGGCCUUCGGGUUGUAAACCUCUUUCAGUAUGGAACAAGGAUCCUUCUUGUGGGGGGUUUGAGGGUACGUGCAGAAGAAGCGCCGGCUAACUACGUG
This 481-nucleotide ribosomal RNA is filed under the name uncultured bacterium. Its description in RNAcentral is "partial 16S ribosomal RNA". It matches the Rfam family "Bacterial small subunit ribosomal RNA", at positions 28 to 507 of the family's 1533-position model. The record is from RNAcentral.